This 1012-nucleotide ribosomal RNA is filed under the name Raffaelea subfusca. RNAcentral's name for it is "SSU rRNA". It matches the Rfam family "Eukaryotic small subunit ribosomal RNA", at positions 79 to 1101 of the family's 1831-position model. The record is from RNAcentral. Lineage: Eukaryota; Fungi; Ascomycota; Sordariomycetes; Ophiostomatales; Ophiostomataceae.
CUGCGAAACUGCGAAUGGCUCAUUAAAUCAGUUAUCGUCUAUUUGAUAGUACCUUACUACUUGGAUAACCGUGGUAAUUCUAGAGCUAAUACAUGCUGAAAACCCCGACUUCGGAAGGGAUGUAUUUAUUAGAUUAAAAACCAAUGCCCUUCGGGGCUCCCUGGUGAUUCAUGAUAACUUCUCGAAUCGCACGGCCUUGCGCCGGCGAUGGUUCAUUCAAAUUUCUGCCCUAUCAACUUUCGACGGCUGGGUCUUGGCCAGCCAUGGUGACAACGGGUAACGGAGGGUUAGGGCUCGACCCCGGAGAAGGAGCCUGAGAAACGGCUACUACAUCCAAGGAAGGCAGCAGGCGCGCAAAUUACCCAAUCCCGACACGGGGAGGUAGUGACAAUAAAUACUGAUACAGGGCUCUUUUGGGUCUUGUAAUUGGAAUGAGUACAAUUUAAUUCCCUUAACGAGGAACAAUUGGAGGGCAAGUCUGGUGCCAGCAGCCGCGGUAAUUCCAGCUCCAAUAGCGUAUAUUAAAGUUGUUGCAGUUAAAAAGCUCGUAGUUGAACCUUGGGCCUGGCUGGCCGGUCCGCCUCACCGCGUGCACUGGUCCGGCCGGGCCUUUCCCUCUGGGGAGCCGCAUGCCCUUCACUGGGCGUGUCGGGGAACCAGGACGUUUACUUUGAAAAAAUUAGAGUGUUCAAAGCAGGCUUAUGCUCGGAUACAUUAGCAUGGAAUAAUAGAAUAGGACGUGCGGUUCUAUUUUGUUGGUUUCUAGGACCGCCGUAAUGAUUAAUAGGGACAGUCGGGGGCAUCAGUAUUCAGUUGUCAGAGGUGAAAUUCUUGGAUUUACUGAAGACUAACUACUGCGAAAGCAUUUGCCAAGGAUGUUUUCAUUAAUCAGGAACGAAAGUUAGGGGAUCGAAGACGAUCAGAUACCGUCGUAGUCUUAACCAUAAACUAUGCCGACUAGGGAUCGGACGGUGUUAUUUUUUGACCCGUUCGGCACCUUACACGAAAGUAC